This is an RNA transcript of Thrips palmi, 2300 nucleotides long. It is a transcript of the gene named dynein heavy chain, cytoplasmic-like, with no coding region annotated. The record is from RefSeq and is a predicted model, not a curated record. The transcript is spliced from 6 exons. Lineage: Eukaryota; Metazoa; Arthropoda; Insecta; Thysanoptera; Thripidae.
GUCACUGCAGAAGUGGGUUGUAACCUGUCAGCGGCCACUUCUGCUCCGGCCACUACGACCACUGCAACAGUGGCGGAGCGCGGCUGGCAUAUUGGUAUUGCAGUUCGGAUGGUGUGCCACGUAGAAGGCUAGCUUUGGUUUGAGAUUACCGAGUAUGGAAAACACUAAGACAAAAACACCGACCAGUUCAGCGGCCAAAGCAGAAGCAGAGCAGAAUUCGUAAGUCAAGAGUCGAAAGAAAGAUCUUUUUGUCUGUCACUAGUGAUAUUUCGAAAACCUACCGGUGGCGACUUGCGUCGUUUUGAAAGCAAGUCUUUGGUUUCAUUUGGCCAUGCAUCUAAAAUAAAUUGGUAUGGAGGGAGUUGCAUUUUUCACCCAAGGUGGAGCAUUUACCCGACUUUGACAAUUAUCACUUCAUGCAUCUAAUGUCAAUGCAAACCAAUGAAGCAAGGAAAUGGUUAUUCUCUCUUACGUUACUCAUGAGCUUCAUAACUUUCUUGAAGCAGUCACAAGUCAAGCAGGAAAUGUACUCACAUUUUGAUCAUCGAAACUGAAGAAACCAAGAGUUGAACACUUCACGACUGCUUUGUAGUGCCCUGUGUUAAUAUUUUCCCCGAGGUGAUGGACUAUGCCUGAUAGCCUGUACGGAAAUUUGGAAUGUAACUCAAGCUGCUUAGGAACACAUGUAAUCCUCUAAAAUUUCUGCUUUGAAGAGGCUGUUCACUGCUCCUUGGAGUGUUUUAAACUGUACUACCGGAACUCUCAAGUCUUGGAAAUGCUGCACCGUUUCGGAAUCAGAUUUACAUUUACUACACGUCACUGAAAAGAAGAAAACAUGAAACUUGUAACAGCGAGAAUACCCCUUUAAAUUAAAGCUUUUAAGUUCCAAAAUCGACUCUACCAGUAUAUUUCAUAUAGCCACCAAAUAUCUGAUGCCAUGCGGUGGUCUCAGCAGAGGCCUGAUCCAAACUGUUUAUCAUAGAGGGAAGAAGAGAAAUUAGUUCUGCAUGUACAGACAUAUAUCUUAAGUUCAACAUAAAUAUGUUAAAUUAAUUACUCAGAGGAUCUGAGGCCACGAUGUUGCAGGAAGUCUAUUUCAAUUUUCUCGCCCAGCCGCCUGAGGAAUUCGUGAGGGUCCUCUUGUUUUCCUUUCACUGCACGCCCAAAUAUAUCUUUAAAAAAAACAGGAACGGUUUCAUUUUGAGUUUUGGAAGCCAAUUAUGAAUAGUAAAAGGGUGACUGUUUAGCAGUUGUACAUAUACUUACUGUCAAUUUGGUCAAUGAGCCCAUGUGGCUCGACUGUGCUACCACUGUUUUGUAGUUGGCUUCUUAUGACACAUAACAGGCAUAAUGUGCAUAGGCAAUGGGGUUGAAGUUCCUCUUCAAGCAUCUGCACUACAGCUGGUAUAUGAAAUAGAACCUGUAAUGUAGAAAGAAAUUUUUUUUAAAGACUGACAAACAUAGAAUAACCACUUCACUUUUCAUUUAAAUCUCUUUGAAUACUGUACCUGCAGAACUGAAUUCAGGUAGCAUGUGUUGCCACCGUUCUUCAGGCCAACACCUGUGCCUCCCGUUCCCCAUAUCAUUGAAAUUUUAUCAGGGGAAUACAACACUGUCUGGGGAUGUGGGAGGUCAGCCCGAACGUGGUUUGGAACUAGUGACUGUUGUAGGACUGUAGUAAAAAUUCAAAACAAUUUUACUUUUGCUUCAUGCCGUACUUGCUGCCUUGGGCUUUCGAAUAGUGCCCCCCUGGUGGUCUGGCAUUGAGGCUCCUCCUCUGCCACACUUCGAAUGGGACGUUGGGGCAGGGAGCAAUCCGCUUUGGUGAAGGAGGGACAUUCUCAGCCUCAACAUCAUCAGGGUGCGCCCUCUUCCUAUAAUUUCGUUGAGGCCUGUCGGGGAAGUCCAUAUGCAUGACGGCCCGCUCAGAGCUCUGAGCAGACCCCUUCAGUGAUGCUGUUAGACAGAAGAUGCGUGACAAGUAUCUCAAUAGGCCAGAUUAUAAUUUUGAGAAAAUAAGUAAUGCCAGUCGGGCUUGUGGACGUCUGGUGAAGUGGGCCAUUGCUCAGGUAUGCUCCAAAUAACACUACAUUUGUCCUCUGAACUCUUUUGUCUACUUCUGAAGGGUAAUAGUACUAAGACUUUUCAAUGUUACAGGUUCAGUAUGCAGACAUGCUUCAGAAACUCAAGCCACUGCAAGACGAAUUGGGUUCUCUGGAACAACAAGCAUCUAAAAACGAAAAUGAGGCUGAGGAUUUAAAAAAACGUAUUGCUCAGCUGGAGCAGAGCGUAGAAUCAUC